GAGCAAAACACUGAAAAUGUUUGGGUUAUUGGUUCAAAUCCGAUCUUGGGCAAUUCCUUUGAUUUUGGGGAAGA
Molecule: transfer RNA, 74 nt
Filed under: Spongilla lacustris
Lineage: Eukaryota; Metazoa; Porifera; Demospongiae; Spongillida; Spongillidae
Description: tRNA-Phe
Rfam family: tRNA (bases 1-52)
About the family: Transfer RNA (tRNA) molecules are approximately 80 nucleotides in length. Their secondary structure includes four short double-helical elements and three loops (D, anti-codon, and T loops).
Source: RNAcentral